Molecule: small RNA, 537 nt
Filed under: Histoplasma ohiense
Lineage: Eukaryota; Fungi; Ascomycota; Eurotiomycetes; Onygenales; Ajellomycetaceae
Description: hypothetical lncRNA
Source: RNAcentral
ACAGAGAAUGGAUGAUAUAUGAAGAACAGACUUUGAAAUAUCUAUUACAUUGGCCUCUUUAUUCCUGGGCGCGUGUUUCUUUUUUCUAUUUCCUUUACCUGCCAAACAAAACAUUAAAAAAUACGGUAUAGAAUAGUUUGUCACUGGCUUCUAUUACGGUGCGAGCUGAAGCUGUGUUGAAGAAUUGUACCAAAAACCCAGCUCCAUCUUAGUAAAAUAAAUAUCCUAAAUUCUAUUCCAUCUCGAUAUCCGAGAAACCUGCGAUCUCGGGUAUAAUGGAAAUUUUUUUUUCAACAAUGCAAUAAGAUCAAGGAGGAGGGCGGUGGGUUCACCACAAAAGGAAGUAAAAGACAAAAUCGGCAGUUGUAUCGCAAACAGAUGAAGUCAUCACGGCAUAAAAUAUAGGAACAGCGUUCAUCGGGACUUGGAGGAUCAUGCCGCCGGUUCCUAAGGCCAUCCAUGGUCCGUCCAAAUAAGGCGAGCUGUUCCUCCUCACUCUGCCGAAGGUGCAUUUCUAUAGUCUUAUUUGUAACGAAG